AAGUAGUAUACUACCAAAUAGUUACAUCUAUUCGGUGGCAAUUAAGUUAUAAAAUUCUGUCUAUUAUUAAUUUUAAUAAUAUAAAGUGUACCCUUUAACUCUCAGCCAUUAUUUACAAUUUAAUUGUUAAUUAUGCCUAAAAAAAUGAAUUGACAACUUUGGUAUUAUUGGUAUAAACAGCUUAAUUCCUUUAUGUAAAGCCACCUUAACAUGUUUUUGCAUAAUUCUGACUCACGUUGGUUGCUAUCGGGCUUAAGCCAUAAAAAUCGAAGAAAAAAAGAAGAAGACGCCCACUUUCACUUGUCAUUUCAAUGUCACUUUCCGGCCCACAAGCAUAAACGCCACCGGCAACGGAAGUUCCCAAAAUCCAAGCAAAUGUUGGAAGAUAUUUUUAAGUCUCCGCAUCUUUCUUACUUUCCUAUAUGAAAAUAAAAUUGGACUACACCAACAAAGGUUAUGUGUUUUGCACCAGAUUGAAAGCAUCAUAGCGAAAAACGGACCUGUCAUAUCUUUAAAUUUUCAAAAGAGCCCCUGGAAAAAGAAAAAUGAAUAUCUUUGCCAAGGAAUAGGUACUAAGGUAUUUUUACUAAAUCUUUCAUUUUUUUUAAUACCUAAAUGAGGUAAUUUAUAAAUUUUGUUCCUUGUAGGCAAAUGGAUAAAAAACCUUCAGUCCAUGCAUUGGUAUGUAAUUGUUGACAAAAAUACAAUGAAUGGCCUCACUACUUUUCCACAUGCAAAGAGGUUAACCAAGGAGAAAUUAAAGAAAUUGUCAAAAACCUAGGUAAAUACAGAAUUGCUUAGUACAAACAUAUCUAUACCCAGUACAAGUUCAUCCACUUCUUUGAAGCAUGGUACUUCAAACAGAAACACUGUCAACAAUUUUGUAGAAGGUGAGCCGGUGUCAAAUUCCAGUAAGGGACAUGAUUUCAAUUUUUCACCAACAGCAGAGCUAAAAUUCAUUUUGCCGCAAUAAACUGGAGGAUGUGAAAGAAAAAAGUGCAGAAGUUAAAAUUAAGUUUUUCAUAUGAGCACAUAAAAAAUAAUCAUGACAAAGUUCAGUUGUAUACAGGUUUGACAUGUAAUAAAUAUUUUUGUAAUCUUAUUAAGUUAAUUAGUUUUAUAUAUUAUUUAAAUAAUAAUUGUAUACUUCACAUAGAAUAUGCAGAAAUUAUAUGUACAUAUAUAAAUUUUUUUAUUAAGAUAAGGACAACAUGUAUUAAAGCAUAACACAUAAUAUAAACACACACGUAAUAUCUUCAUUAAAAAUUAUGAUUGUAUGUUAUGUAGCAUUAGAGCCUAAAAAC
Molecule: long non-coding RNA, 1304 nt
Organism: Anthonomus grandis grandis
Lineage: Eukaryota; Metazoa; Arthropoda; Insecta; Coleoptera; Curculionidae
Exons: 3
Source: RefSeq, a predicted model, not a curated record